UAGACCGUGAGGCUAAACUUGACAUGUGAUACCUUUUCGGAAAGCCCAAAGAGAGCUCUCCGAUGAAUGAGUAAGGAAAAUGGAAUUCUUCUAUUUGUUUUUUUCCUUCUCCAAAUUUUGAUUGUAAUGUACUUUUUCGAGCCUUUUCAUUAUCUUUGCUAUAUUACGGGGCCAAAAUUAUAUGUUCGGACAUUGUUUUCGAAUAUUUUGCAUGUAUCAAAGCUCUUAUAAACAAGAUAGGGUAUUCCUACACAGGUGGUGGGACCCACGGCAAAUGGAUCAUAAAGUCUUCAAAAAAGAAUAGAUACAAUUGCAUUGCAUGUAGUAACGGAUGCGAUCAUACCAGCACUAAUCCACCAGAUCCCAUCAGAACUACGUAGUUAAGCGUGCUUGGGCGAGAGUAGUACUAGGAUGGGUAACCUCCUGGAAAGUCCUCGUGUUGCAUCCCUCUUUUUUUUUGGUUUUUCUCUUUUUGUUUUGUCAAAAAUGUAUGACUCUAGAACUUUUAGACCGUGAGGCCAAACUUGGCAUGUGAUACCUUUUCGGAAAGCCCAAAGAGAGCUCUCCGAUGAAUUAGGAAGGAGAAUGGAAUUCUUCUAUAGUUUUUUUUUCUACUCCAAAUUUUGACCUUAAUGUACUUUUUCGGGCCUUUUCGUAAUCUUUGUUAUAUUACGGGGCGAAAAUUAUAUGUACGGACAUUGUUUUCGUAUAUUUUGCAUGUAUCAAAGCUCUUAUAAACAAGAUAGGGUACUCCUACAUAGCUGGUGGGACCCACGGCAAAUCGAUCAUAAAGUCUUCAAAAAAGAAUAAAUACGAUUGCAUUGCAUGUAGUUACAGAUGCGAUCAUACUAGCACUAAUGCACCAGGUCCCAUCAGAACUUUACAGUUAAGCGUGCUUGGGCGAGAGUAGUACUAGGAUGGGUGACCUCCAGGAAAGUCCUCGUGUGUCAUCCCUCUUUUUGUUUUGUUAAAAAUGUAUGACUCUAUAACUUUAAGACCGUGAGGCCAAACUUGACAUGUGAUACCUUUUCGGAAAGCCCAAAGAGAGCUCUCCGAUGAAUGAGGAAGGAAAAUGGAAUUCUUCUAUUGUUUUUUUUCCUUCUCCAAAUUUUGAUUUUAAUAUAAUUUUUCGAGCCUUUUCGUUAUAUUUGCUAUAUUACGGGGCCAAAAUUAUAUGUUCGGACAUUAUUUUCGAAUAUUGUACAUGUAUCAAAGCUCUUAUAAACAAGAUAGGGUAUUCCUACACAGCUGGUGGGACCCACGGCAAAUGGAUCAUAAAGUCUUCAAAAAAAAAUAGAUACAAUUGCAUUGCAUGUAGUAAUGGAUGCGAUCAUACCAUCACUAAUGCACUAAAUCCCAUCAGAACUCCGUAGUUAAGCGUGCUUGGGCGAGAGUAGUACUAGGAUGGGUGACCUCAUGGAAAGUCCUCGUGUUUUAUCCCUCUUUUUUUCGGUUUUUCUCUUUUUUUUUUGUCAAAAAUGUAUGACUCUAGAACUUUUAGACCGUGAGGCCAAACUUGGCAUGUGAUACUUUUUCGGAAAGCACAAAGAGAGCUCUCCGAUGAAUUAGGAAGGAAAAUGGAAUUCUUCUAUAGUUUUUUUUUCUACUCCAAAGUUUGACCUUAAUGUACUUUUUCGGGCCUUUUCGUAAUCUUUGCUAUAUUACGGGGCGAAAAUUAUAUGUACGGACAUUGUUUUCGUAUAUUUUGCAUGUAUCAAAGCUCUUAUAAACAAGAUAGGGUAUUCCUACAUAGCUGGUGGGACCCACGGCAAAUCGAUCAUAAAGUCUUCAAAAAAGAAUAAAUACGAUUGCAUUGCAUGUAGUUACGGAUGCGAUCAUACUAGCACUAAUGCACCAGGUCCCAUCAGAACUCUACAGUUAAGCGUGCUUGGGCGAGAGUAGUACUAGGAUGGGUGACCUCCAGGAAAGUCCUCGUGUGUCAUCCCUCUUUUUGUUUUGUUAAAAAUGUAUGACUCUAUAACUUUAAGACCGUGAGGCCAAACUUGACAUGUGAUACCUUUUCGGAAAGCCCAAAGAGAGCUCUCCGAUGAAUGAGGAAGGAAAAUAGAAUUCUUCUAUAGUUUUUUUUCCUUCUCCAAAUUUUGAUUUUAAUAUAAUUUUUCGAGCCUUUUCGUUAUAUUUGCUAUAUUACGGGGCCAAAAUUAUAUGUUCGGACAUUAUUUUCGAAUAUUUUGCAUGUAUCAAAGCUCUUAUAAACAAGAUAGGGUAUUCCUACACAGCUGGUCGGACCCACGGUAAAUGGAUCAUAAAGUCUUCAAAAAAGAAUAGAUACAAUUGCAUUGCAUGUAGUAACGGAUGUGAUCAUACCAGCACUAAUGCACCAGAUCCCAUCAGAACUCCGUAGUUAAGCGUGCUUGGGCGAGAGUAGUACUAGGAUGGGUGACCUCAUGGAAAGUCCUCGUGUUUUAUCCCUUUUUUUCGGUUUUUCUCUUUUUUUUAUGUCAAAAAUGUAUGACUCUAGAACUUUUAGACCGUGAGGCCAAACUUGGCAUGUGAUACUUUUUCGGAAAGGACAAAGAGAGCUCUCCGAUGAAUUAGGAAGGAAAAUGGAAUUCUUCUAUAGUUUUUUUUUCUACUCCAAAGUUUGACCUUAAUGUACUUUUUCAGGCCUUUUCGUAAUCUUUGCUAUAUUACGGGGCGAAAAUUAUAUGUACGGACAUUGUUUUCGUAUAUUUUGCAUGUAUCAAAGCUCUUAUAAACAAGAUAGGGUAUUCCUACAUAGCUGGUGGGACUCACGGCAAAUCGAUCAUAAAGUCUUCAAAAAAGAAUAGAUACGAUUGCAUUGCAUGUAGUUACAGAUGUGAUCAUACCAGCACUAAUGCAUCAGAUCCCAUCAGAACUCUGCAAUUAAGCGUGCUUGGACGAGAGUAGUACUAGGAUGGGUGACCUCCAGGAAAGUCCUCGUGUGUCAUCCCUCUUUUUGUUUUGUUAAACAUGUAUGACUCUAUAACUUUAAGACCGUGAGGCCAAACUUGACAUGUGAUACCUUUUCGGAAAGCCCAAAGAGAGCUCUCCGAUGAAUGAGGAAGGAAAAUGGAAUUCUUCUAUUGGUUUUUUUUCUUACUCCAAAUUUUGAUUUUAAUGUACUUUUUCGAGCCUUUUCGUGAUUUUUGCUAUAUUACGGGCGAAAAUUAUAUGUUCGGACAUUGUUUUCGAAUAUUUUGCAUGUAUCAAAGCUCUUAUAAACAAGAUAAGGUAUUCCUACAUAGUUGGUGAAACCCACGA
RNAcentral lists this small RNA (3246 nucleotides) under Arabidopsis thaliana (thale cress). Lineage: Eukaryota; Viridiplantae; Streptophyta; Magnoliopsida; Brassicales; Brassicaceae. The record is from RNAcentral.